RNAcentral lists this transfer RNA (65 nucleotides) under Gargara sp. 16071360. RNAcentral describes it as "tRNA-Leu". Lineage: Eukaryota; Metazoa; Arthropoda; Insecta; Hemiptera; Membracidae. The record is from RNAcentral.
AUUAGUUUGGCAGAAUUAUGCAUUAAAUUUAGGUUUUAAUUAUAUGUAUUUCUACAUAUCUAAUA